Molecule: long non-coding RNA, 1506 nt
Organism: Canis lupus familiaris (dog)
Lineage: Eukaryota; Metazoa; Chordata; Mammalia; Carnivora; Canidae
Exons: 3
Source: RefSeq, a predicted model, not a curated record
GCUGGGAGGCUCUGCUGUAAGGUAGUGAGCUCCCUGUCUUUACAGUUAUUCCAAAGGUUGAUGUUCACCCUUGGGUGCCACAGUCGUGAGGACCCUUGUAUCGGGAGGGAGAUGGCUCCUCGCAGCCUUGGGAUUCCUCAAGCCUGGGGCUGGCCUCCUGGUCUGUGAUUCUAAACGUGGAGGCUGUAGGCAUUUAUUCUAACAUUCAUGUUGUUCUAACCGAGUGCCAGGCUCUAACUGCUCACAAACACCUGCACCUUUGCUUCUCAUGGUAAGCCUCUGAACUGGGCACUCACGUUUCUGUUUUGUGGACAGGGAGCCCAAGGCCGAGAGAAGGGACUUAGCCAGGAGCUCCCAGCUAGUCACCUCCAGGUCCUGUCCUCCGAACUGCUCCGCUACUGCAGUUCUCUCUGCGGCGUUUCCAGGAGGCCGGCUGCUAGCUUAGUCCGGGCAUGGCUGGGGCUCUUCUGGCAGAGUCCAGAGCAGGCAAGACAAGCGCUCUGGGACGGGUGGGUUUCAAGAGGGGUCCUGUUGUGCAGGCCCAGAGAAUAACCCGAAGGGUGUCGUUGGUGGCAGGCACGGUAACACCCAGGUAACAAGGGGAGGGGACAGUCCCUCCAGAGAGGCAGGAGGCUCACAGUGAUAGAGGCUCUGGAAACCUGAACGUCCGGACAGGCAAGUGAUGUCGGGAUGGCGGUGAUUCAUCAUGGAACUCCAGGACCUGGGCAAGAGGGGGCAUGGAGUUUCAGAGAAGGGGACUCUCUGUCCCGGAGCAAGUGAAGGCUGUGGCAUCAGAAGAGGGAGGCCACGCCAGAAGCAUUCAGAAAGAAGGACAUGAUGUGAAGCUCCAGGUCUGGGCUGGGAACAGCUGCCUCAGGAAAGGAGGCCUGACUUCAGAACCCAGAGUCUGGGCCUUAAUCCCUGGAUUUGCUGCCUUUGCUCCUUGUGUGAUCACAGCGGGCUCAGUUAACCUCUCUGACCUUUGGUUUCUUAUCUUAAAAGGUCCACGCUGGGUGGUCAUUGGAGAGUUUGCCGCUGCUGACCAGCUGGCCGUCAGUCCUGGAGCACCGAGAGGAGUGGAGGAUGCACAAGGACUGCAGUGGAGACGCUGCUGUCCCCCUCCCCUGAGCCCACUGGGACCUCUGGCUUUGCUGGCUGCGUGUGGUCCUGCCACACACUGACUGGCUCCCACUCCCAUGGGGCUAUGCCAAGACUUGAUGCAGACCAGCAUAAAUUGCUUGGAAGUCACAUGUUGAAGAUGAAAGCCACAAGAUGGAAGGAUGCUAGACACCCAGGCCCUGCUUGGAGAAGAACUACCCCACUUGUAGGGAUGCUAUUCGAGUCUAGUAUAAGUGGGAAAUAAACUUCUGUUGUGUUGGAGCUAUCAUACAUUUUGGAGUUUAUUUUUACAAAUUAAUUUAGACACUGUGAGCUACAGAAAGCAUUAUCUGUCACAUGGUGGGGUUAAACAAAUAAAAGUGCCCUUCUGCCUGACAACAGUGUUCU